RNAcentral lists this ribosomal RNA (162 nucleotides) under uncultured bacterium. Its description in RNAcentral is "partial 16S ribosomal RNA". It matches the Rfam family "Bacterial small subunit ribosomal RNA", at positions 355 to 509 of the family's 1533-position model. The record is from RNAcentral.
UGGGGAAUUUUGGACAAUGGGGGGCAACCCUGAUCCAGCCAUUCCGCGUGAGUGAAGAAGGCCUCGGUUGUAAGCUCUUUCGGUCAGGAACGAAACGGCGGGCGUCUAACAUAGCCUGUCAAUGACGGUACCUGAAGAAGAAGCACCGGCUAACUACGUGCC